RNAcentral lists this ribosomal RNA (777 nucleotides) under uncultured bacterium. RNAcentral describes it as "bacterial SSU rRNA". It matches the Rfam family "Bacterial small subunit ribosomal RNA", at positions 561 to 1336 of the family's 1533-position model. The record is from RNAcentral.
UAAAGAGCUCGUAGGUGGUUUGUCGCGUUGUUCGUGAAAUCUCACGGCUUAACUGUGAGCGUGCGGGCGAUACGGGCAGACUUGAGUACUGCAGGGGAGACUGGAAUUCCUGGUGUAGCGGUGGAAUGCGCAGAUAUCAGGAGGAACACCGGUGGCGAAGGCGGGUCUCUGGGCAGUAACUGACGCUGAGGAGCGAAAGCGUGGGGAGCGAACAGGAUUAGAUACCCUGGUAGUCCACGCCGUAAACGGUGGGUACUAGGUGUGGGUUUCCUUCCUUGGGAUCCGUGCCGUAGCUAACGCAUUAAGUACCCCGCCUGGGGAGUACGGCCGCAAGGCUAAAACUCAAAGAAAUUGACGGGGGCCCGCACAAGCGGCGGAGCAUGUGGAUUAAUUCGAUGCAACGCGAAGAACCUUACCUGGGUUUGACAUGCACAGGACGCCGGCAGAGAUGUCGGUUCCCUUGUGGCCUGUGUGCAGGUGGUGCAUGGCUGUCGUCAGCUCGUGUCGUGAGAUGUUGGGUUAAGUCCCGCAACGAGCGCAACCCUUGUCUCAUGUUGCCAGCGGGUAAUGCCGGGGACUCGUGAGAGACUGCCGGGGUCAACUCGGAGGAAGGUGGGGACGACGUCAAGUCAUCAUGCCCCUUAUGUCCAGGGCUUCACACAUGCUACAAUGGCCGGUACAAAGGGCUGCGAUGCCGCGAGGUUAAGCGAAUCCUUUUAAAGCCGGUCUCAGUUCGGAUCGGGGUCUGCAACUCGACCCCGUGAAGUCGGAGUCGCU